CCUACGGGGGGCUGCAGUGGGGAAUAUUGGACAAUGGGGGCAACCCUGAUCCAGCCAUGCCGCGUGUGUGAAGAAGGCCCUCGGGUUGUAAAGCACUUUCAGUGAGGAAGAACGCCUGGUGGUUAAUACCCAUCAGGAAAGACAUCACUCACAGAAGAAGCACCGGCUAACUCCGUGCCAGCAGCCGCGGUAAUACGGAGGGUGCGAGCGUUAAUCGGAAUUACUGGGCGUAAAGCGCGCGUAGGUGGCUUGAUAAGCCGGUUGUGAAAGCUCCGGGCUCAACCUGGGAACGGCAUCCGGAACUGUCAAGCUAGAGUGCAGGAGAGGAAGGUAGAAUUCCCGGUGUAGCGGUGAAAUGCGUAGAGAUCGGGAGGAAUACCAGUGGCGAAGGCGGCCUUCUGGACUGACACUGACACUGAGGUGCGAAAGCGUGGGUAGCAAACAGGAUUAGAUACCCUUGUAGUC
RNAcentral lists this ribosomal RNA (465 nucleotides) under Vreelandella stevensii. RNAcentral's name for it is "partial 16S ribosomal RNA". It matches the Rfam family "Bacterial small subunit ribosomal RNA", at positions 338 to 795 of the family's 1533-position model. Lineage: Bacteria; Pseudomonadati; Pseudomonadota; Gammaproteobacteria; Oceanospirillales; Halomonadaceae. The record is from RNAcentral.